CUCUGCAAUUUACCAAACCACAGCCUCAGCGUUCGCAGCAGUGGAGGGGAGGCUGGAGGGAGGCAGGCUUCUCCAGUGUAGUGGGCUCCAAACAUCCGUGACUUGGGUGCAGCCGGUCCUGCCAGCUCACCACACCACAGUGCCUUACUCCAAACGCUUGACCUUCCCGAGUGUGGUGUGCACUGCACCAGGACCCAGGGGAGGGGACCCUCACUGGACAUGCCUGUGUUGGCAUGAAUGGCCCCAAAGAGUCACAAUCUCUCCAUCACUAGCUGUGUGUCUUCCUAGCCAGCCCCAACUGGCCUUUGGGUACCUUUCAUGAGAAAACCACACCACACGCAAAAGGCUAGUUAGAGCCGUCUGUGACAAGCUGCACUGCAAGUCACCCAUCUGGUUCUUAGUCUCCUGGUCUAGAAAGGAAAGGGUUGAGCCAGCCGAGUCCCCGCCAGCCCCACAAUCCCACCACAUACAACACUCUCUUUUCUCGUCGUGUUCCAGAACCUCAGUGAGGACUCUGUGUGGUAGCAUCUGCUCAGUGACAUCACUCCCUGCCCCAAACAUCAUGUCAUCGAUUCUCAGAGGGGAAGCAGAGCUGUCCCAGGAAACACUUUGUCUGUAAAAAGGGGAGGAAAUGACCAUUUCCAGGGAACUAGACAGGACUCCUUUUGUAUUUUCCACAUAGCAUACACAUUAUUAUCAGUCUUAAAACUCGGGGUCUUUCUUUUUGCCAGACCAUUAAUAGCUGCUUUUCAAAAAUGCUUUCUUCGUCAGAAUCUCACCAACAAACUGGAAAGGCACUGCCUGGGUCCCAGAGCAGAGAAUGGCAUCUGUUGAAAGCAGUGCCAACCUCAAUGAGGACGAGAGACAAGGACCCUAGCCCAGCCUGCAGCCCUGGAGAAGAGGCGGGGAAGCAGGCUGGCUUGGAGUAGGGCGACCCACUGCCCCAAGCCCUCUGAAAGGAGUGCUCUGGCGAUGGCGGUGGAAGAUGCUUGCCAAGCCAGAUGCCAGAAACGGAUGAAUCCCCUGCCUGGUCACUUUCCCCCUCUCCCCAGCCUGAGCCCAGCCCCACUCACUGUAAAGAGCACCUCUCUGCUGGAGACCCAGGAACAGGAGCCCGAGGCCGACGUUACCACAAGCCCCAGUCCUCUCCAACAGCGAAAUAAAAGGCACUUCAGAGACCAAAGCGCAGUCUAGGGCAGCAACCAA
This is a long non-coding RNA of Chinchilla lanigera (long-tailed chinchilla), 1206 nucleotides long. RefSeq lists it as uncharacterized. The transcript is spliced from 2 exons. NCBI's taxonomy places the organism in Eukaryota, Metazoa, Chordata, Mammalia, Rodentia, Chinchillidae. The record is from RefSeq and is a predicted model, not a curated record.